Molecule: non-coding RNA, 214 nt
Organism: Pelobates cultripes (western spadefoot toad)
Lineage: Eukaryota; Metazoa; Chordata; Amphibia; Anura; Pelobatidae
Source: the annotation of a GenBank genome assembly
GUGUGCAUCUCAUUGCAACUCAGUACAUAUAGCGAAUCCCCACUAACAUGACCCUUCUGCAUUGGAUAGAGUGGGAAAUAAUGUAAAACUGUGUACUUCUAAUCCUUGCUGGACUACAACUCUCAUCAACCUCAGUCAGUGGCAAGUUAAGGAUAAUAGAAACUUACUGUACCCUCACUUUGUCUCUGGUGACCUAGGAGGGGGAAGGACUGAC